This 481-nucleotide ribosomal RNA is filed under the name uncultured bacterium. RNAcentral's name for it is "partial 16S ribosomal RNA". It matches the Rfam family "Bacterial small subunit ribosomal RNA", at positions 28 to 507 of the family's 1533-position model. The record is from RNAcentral.
GAUGAACGCUGGCGGCGUGCUUAACACAUGCAAGUCGAACGAAGCAUUUGCGACAGAUUUUUUCGGAAUGAAGUUGCUUAUGACUGAGUGGCGGACGGGUGAGUAACGCGUGGGUAACCUGCCUUGUACUGGGGGAUAGCAGCUGGAAACGGCUGGUAAUACCGCAUAAGCGCACAAUGUUGCAUGACAUGGUGUGAAAAACUCCGGUGGUAUAAGAUGGACCCGCGUCUGAUUAGCUAGUUGGUGAGAUAACAGCCCACCAAGGCGACGAUCAGUAGCCGACCUGAGAGGGUGACCGGCCACAGUGGGACUGAGACACGGCCCAGACUCCUACGGGAGGCAGCAGUGGGGAAUAUUGCACAAUGGAGGAAACUCUGAUGCAGCGACGCCGCGUGAGUGAAGAAGUAAUUCGUGAUGUAAAGCUCUAUCAGCAGGGAAGAUAGUGACGGUACCUAACGAAGAAGCUCCGGCUAAAUACGUG